UGCCAGCAGCCGCGGUAAUACCGGCAGCACGAGUGAUGGCCGAUCUUAUUGGGCCUAAAGCGUCCGUAGCCGGCCGAGCGGGUCCGUCGGGAAAUCCACGCGCUCAACGCGUGGGCGUCCGGCGGAAACCACUCGGCUUGGGGCCGGAAGACUCGAGGGGUACGUCUGGGGUAGGAGUGAAAUCCCGUAAUCCCGAACGGACUACCGAUGGCGAAAGCACCUCAAGAGCACGGAUCCGACGGUGAGGAACGAAAGCUGGGGUCUCGAACCGGAUUAGAUA
Molecule: ribosomal RNA, 280 nt
Filed under: uncultured bacterium
Lineage: Bacteria
Description: partial 16S ribosomal RNA
Rfam family: Archaeal small subunit ribosomal RNA
Source: RNAcentral